This 2641-nucleotide long non-coding RNA is filed under the name Sus scrofa (pig). Its description in RNAcentral is "lncRNA (ENSSSCG00030014269.1)". The record is from RNAcentral. Lineage: Eukaryota; Metazoa; Chordata; Mammalia; Artiodactyla; Suidae.
CCCAAUCGCCUCAAUUUGCCUCAGGAAAACAUGAGAAGUAGAUUGGUAAAUUUUACUUCAAACAACCAAACAAAAGGAACACUGUGAGGAGGGUGAGAUGCUGUGGUAGCCUGGAGCUUUAAAUCAGGUAUGAUGACUUGGGAAACUGUGUCCAAGUCUGUGCCUCAUCCGUGGGGUGACCAGGCUUCAUCAGCUCCUGGCACGCCCCUUAAAGCAAGGUAUUGUUGACUGGGGAGAUUGGUUGGUUUAACUUUUCACCUCACUGGAAUUUUUUUCCUUUCACGGACUUAGGGUUUUGUCUUGCUUUGGUGUGGUUUGGUUUGGUUUGGUUUGGCCUGGUUUGGCUUUUCUUUGCUCUUCAACUCUGGCUACCAGCUGCCUUAUGGCAAGCUGCGGUUACCCCUACCUCAUCUAGAGAAAGUGCAGCUGGGGUGGAGAAAACAAAAAUGGCAUAUCCGCCGUGUAUUUUUUUCACCAUUGCUUUCCCUGUCAUUUUUCUGGGGGGAAAGAAGUCUACGCAGUGACGGUUUCUAUUCCACCAUGGCCCACUCACCCCCACAACCCAGUUCAAAACACACCCAUUGCCUGUAGAUGCCUCGAAACCGUCUCACUUUUGUGCAGAGAUGUUUACACCCUGCUUGAGAUCUAGAAAGUUAUUUGUUAGCCCUCCUGCUGCAUCAGCCCAUAACUUUGCCCAAGUUUCACUUGGCUUAACAGCUAUUCUUUAUGUGGGGCAUAGUAGCCGUUUCUUAGUUUCAGUGUGGAUGGAAUUUUCUUUUGUUUUCCUUCAUUCAAAUUCAUGGGCUUGGCGCAAAGGAGUGAAGCAAAUAUACCUUGCCUUCACCAUCUUCCGCUGGAAACCCUGAAUCUAGAGUGAGCUUUUAGAAAUCCAGACGCGGCCCUGCCCCUCCCAUGGUGAAAGUCUUUGGCUGGCUUCCCGCUGCCAUUCAAAGUCUCUAAGCCCCAGGGUAGCUUACAAGGCGCUUCGUGACCUGCCUUCCCCUUAGCUCUCCAGGGUCAUCUUGCUUCUGGCUCCCCAAAUCUAGGAUGCCCCCCUCAUCUCACCUUCUUUUAUCCUUUGACGAUAACAUUUAUUGUUCUUUUACCAAUUACUAAAGCAACUGCCUUCGACGGUAGAGAAUUGGAAAAUAUAGAGAAGUAUGAACAAGCAAAGAAAAUCACUGUAAUCAUGCUUCCUCAAAGAUACCACUGAUAACAUUUUGUCUCAUUUUAGUCCAGCAUUGUUUCUAUGCAUAACAUCCAAAUAUUAUUUUUAUGUGACAUUAUAUGAUAUAUGUGUGUGUGUGUGUAUAGACAUCUAAUUUGUAGGCGGCAAUUAGAGUCUUUUAGACUUCUUCCACUUCACAUUUUAUUAUAAGCAUCAUAUUCAUUAUAUUUUAAGUUACAGUGAAUAUUAAUAAGCGUUUACUAUGCACCGAGUACUACUUGGCUAAGUACUUUACAUGUUUUUUCUCGUUUAAUCCUUGCAACCCCCUGUGAGGCACUAUGAUGUUCCCGUUUCCCAGAGAAAGCCAUCAAGGCUUAGAGAGGUUAAGUAACUUGCUCAAAGUCACACAGCUGCUAAUUGUUGGAGCUGGGACUUGAACCCAGAUGUAGAAAACUCCAAAACUCUCUUGAGGUGUCAAUAGAAUAUUUUUGUAAACAUUGUUAAAUGUUGAAUAGAUACAAAGGAAUCAUUGUAACUUAUAUGUAAGGGAUAAAGAAUCAUGGUACAAUGUACAAAAGUAUCACCCACCACCCAGUUAAAGGCAAAUGUGCUUGCUGGACAGUUCUUCAAAGUGGCCUUUGUUGAAAUGAUCACAGUUGAAAUUAACUAAUGUAUGGGUCCUAGGGUUAAAAUUCCUCAGGUAAAAGAGGCAGUGGUUUCCUCAGUCCCUCAGAGUGUGGCAGGCCCUUUGCCUCUCUAGGCAGUCAAGAUCAGUCGGUUGCUGUAAGCCCCAGUUCUGGUGGAUGGACUCCUUCCCCAGCCUCAGGAAACUUCUGCACUGCGAGAGGCUGGAGAACUCAGAGCAAGGCCACCUCAGUGAGGUCAACUGAGCAGCCCUGAGAGCAGUGGUAUCAGGUGGGCAGUGAUUCGGGCAUAUGCAGGGUGAGUGCUGAUGAGUGCUCUGGGUGGACGAAGCAAGGCUCCUGCCUAACCAGGCGCAGCCCCAGUGAUGGCAGUAGGAAAAGUUGAGCAGCUCAGGUGAGGGGACAACUUUCAUUGCAACCUAACUGAGUGACUCGGAAUCAUUCUAGGAGAAGUUGAGGACAUUGAGGUUUUAGGAGCCCGGUGAAGUCCAGGGGACCUAGCGCCAAAGGUAUUUUUGUCACCACAGCCAUUUUACCCACACCCUCCUGGCUGAUGUGGGCUGAGCCAUCAAGAAUUAAUCAGUAUUUCGUAAAAGACAAGUUUCACUUGCCAGACUACUUCCUUCACUCAACUGUGGUGGAUCUCCUAUCGCUGUCUAUUGUGCCACAGGGUAAACUCUACAAUUGCAUGUAUUGGAGUUUCCGGGUGGCUCAGUAGGUCAAGGAUCUGGUAUUGUCACUGCUGUGGCUCUGGUUCCAGCUGUGGCGUGUGUUCAGUCUCUGGCCUGGGAACUUCCACAUGCUACAGGCACAGCCAAAAAAAUAAAAA